Molecule: ribosomal RNA, 22 nt
Filed under: Puccinia pseudomesnieriana
Lineage: Eukaryota; Fungi; Basidiomycota; Pucciniomycetes; Pucciniales; Pucciniaceae
Description: partial 28S ribosomal RNA
Source: RNAcentral
AAUAUGAUACAGUCUCUAAGAG